GUGCCAGCAGCCGCGGUAAAACGUAGGAGCCUAGCGUUAUCCGAAUUUACUGGGCGUAAAGCGCGUGCAGGCGGCUUUGUAAGUUGGCUGUGAAAUCUCCCGGCUCAACUGGGAGGGGACGGUCAAGACUGCGAGGCUGGAGGCAGGUAGAGGGAGGUGGAAUUCCCGGUGUAGUGGUGAAAUGCGUAGAGAUCGGGAGGAACACCAGUGGCGAAAGCGGCCUCCUGGACCUGUCCUGACGCUGAGAUGCGAAAGCUAGGGGAGCAAACGGGAUUAGAAACCCUCGUAGUCC
Molecule: ribosomal RNA, 292 nt
Filed under: uncultured bacterium
Lineage: Bacteria
Description: partial 16S ribosomal RNA
Rfam family: Bacterial small subunit ribosomal RNA
Source: RNAcentral